UACGUAGGGGGCAAGCGUUGUCCGGAAUCAUUGGGCGUAAAGAGCGUGUAGGCGGCUCGAUAAGUCUGCUGUGAAAGUCCAGGGCUCAACCCUGGAAGGCCGGUGGAAACUGUCGGGCUAGAGUCCGGAAGAGGCGAGUGGAAUUCCCGGUGUAGCGGUGAAAUGCGCAGAUAUCGGGAGGAACACCAAUGGCGAAGGCAGCUCGCUGGGACGGUACUGACGCUGAGGCACGAAAGCGUGGGGAGCAAACAGG
Molecule: ribosomal RNA, 253 nt
Filed under: uncultured bacterium
Lineage: Bacteria
Description: partial 16S ribosomal RNA
Rfam family: Bacterial small subunit ribosomal RNA
Source: RNAcentral